This 863-nucleotide ribosomal RNA is filed under the name uncultured bacterium. RNAcentral describes it as "bacterial SSU rRNA". It matches the Rfam family "Bacterial small subunit ribosomal RNA", at positions 28 to 897 of the family's 1533-position model. The record is from RNAcentral.
GACGAACGCUGGCGGCGUGCCUAAUGCAUGCAAGUCGAGCGGGCUACGAUCUUCGGAUUGUAGCUUAGCGGCGAACGGGUGAGUAACACGUAGGUAAUCUACCCUUCAGAGGAGGACAACCUCAGGAAACUGAGGCUAAACCUCCAUACGUUCAUAUGCAGGGAUGCAGAUGAAGAAAGAGUUACCUUAAAGGUAGCUGCUGAAGGAUGAGCCUGCGGCCCAUCAGGUAGUUGGUGAGGUAACGGCUCACCAAGCCGAAGACGGGUAACCGGUCUGAGAGGAUGUCCGGUCACACUGGGACUGAGACAUGGCCCAGACUCCUACGGGAGGCAGCAGCAGGGAAUCUUGGGCAAUGGGCGAAAGCCUGACCCAGCGACGCCGCGUGGAGGAAGAAGUCCUUCGGGGCGUAAACUCCUGGACUGGGGGACGAGGAAGGACGGUACCCCAGUAGAAAGGGACGGCUAACUACGUGCCAGCAGCCGCGGUAAAACGUAGGUCCCGAGCGUUGUUCGGAUUCACUGGGUGUAAAGGGCGCGUAGGUGGUUGUCUGUGUCUCAUGUGAAAACUCAGGGCUCAACUCUGAGAUUGCGUGGGAAACUAGGCAGCUAGAGGACGGUAGAGGGGAGUGGAAUUCCCGGUGUAGCGGUAAAAUGCGUAGAUAUCGGGAGGAACACCGGUGGCGAAGGCGGCUCUCUGGGCCGAUCCUGACGCUGAGGCGCGAAAGCUAGGGGAGCGAACCGGAUUAGAUACCCGGGUAGUCCUAGCCGUAAACGAUGGGUGCUAGGUGUUGGGGGGUAAAGACCCUUCAGUGCCGAAGCCAACGCGAUAAGCAUCCCACCUGGGGAGUACGGCCGCAAGGUUGA